AUGCACGAAAGUGUGAUCCAGCAAUGCCGCGUGAGUGAUGAAGGCCUUAGGGUUGUAAAGCUCUUUUACUAGGGAUGAUAAUGACAGUACCUAGAGAAUAAGCUCCGGCUAACUCCGUGCCAGCAGCCGCGGUAAUACGGAGGGAGCUAGCGUUGUUCGGAAUUACUGGGCGUAAAGCGCGCGUAGGCGGCUAUUCAAGUCAGAGGUGAAAUCCCAGGGCUCAACCCUGGAACUGCCUUUGAAACUAGAUAGCUAGAAUACUGGAGAGGUGAGUGGAAUUCCGAGUGUAGAGGUGAAAUUCGUAGAUAUUCGGAAGAACACCAGUGGCGAAGGCGACUCACUGGACAGUUAUUGACGCUGAGGUGCGAAAGCGUGGGGAGCAAACAGGAUUA
This 392-nucleotide ribosomal RNA is filed under the name uncultured bacterium. RNAcentral describes it as "bacterial SSU rRNA". It matches the Rfam family "Bacterial small subunit ribosomal RNA", at positions 371 to 780 of the family's 1533-position model. The record is from RNAcentral.